RNAcentral lists this ribosomal RNA (433 nucleotides) under uncultured bacterium. RNAcentral describes it as "partial 16S ribosomal RNA". It matches the Rfam family "Bacterial small subunit ribosomal RNA", at positions 29 to 507 of the family's 1533-position model. The record is from RNAcentral.
AACGAACGCUGGCGGCAGGCCUAACACAUGCAAGUCGAGCGAGGACUUCGGUCCUAGCGGCGGACGGGUGAGUAACGCGUGGGAACGUGCCCUUUGCUUCGGAAUAGCCCUGGGAAACUGGGAGUAAUACCGGAUGAGCCCUUUGGGGGAAAGAUUUAUCGGCGAAGGAUCGGCCCGCGUUGGAUUAGGUAGUUGGUGGGGUAAUGGCCUACCAAGCCGACGAUCCAUAGCUGGUUUGAGAGGAUGAUCAGCCACACUGGGACUGAGACACGGCCCAGACUCCUACGGGAGGCAGCAGUGGGGAAUCUUAGACAAUGGGGGAAACCCUGAUCUAGCCAUGCCGCGUGAGCGAUGAAGGCCUUAGGGUUGUAAAGCUCUUUCAGCUGGGAAGAUAAUGACGGUACCAGCAGAAGAAGCCCCGGCUAACUCCAUG